RNAcentral lists this ribosomal RNA (252 nucleotides) under uncultured bacterium. RNAcentral describes it as "partial 16S ribosomal RNA". It matches the Rfam family "Bacterial small subunit ribosomal RNA", at positions 524 to 775 of the family's 1533-position model. The record is from RNAcentral.
UACGUAGGGUGCAAGCGUUAAUCGGAAUUACUGGGCGUAAAGCGUGCGCAGGCGGUGAUGUAAGACAGUUGUGAAAUCCCCGGGCUCAACCUGGGAACUGCAUCUGUGACUGCAUCGCUGGAGUGCGGCAGAGGGGGAUGGAAUUCCGCGUGUAGCAGUGAAAUGCGUAGAUAUGCGGAGGAACACCGAUGGCGAAGGCAAUCCCCUGGACCUGCACUGACGCUCAUGCACGAAAGCGUGGGGAGCAACAGG